GCGCCCUUAGCUCAGUUGGAUAGAGCGUCUGGCUACGAACCAGAAGGUCGCCUGUUCGAAUCAGGCAGGGCGCG
This 74-nucleotide transfer RNA is filed under the name Deltaproteobacteria bacterium. Its description in RNAcentral is "tRNA-Arg". It matches the Rfam family "tRNA". From Rfam's summary of the family: Transfer RNA (tRNA) molecules are approximately 80 nucleotides in length. Their secondary structure includes four short double-helical elements and three loops (D, anti-codon, and T loops). Lineage: Bacteria; Pseudomonadati; Myxococcota; Myxococcia. The record is from RNAcentral.